Molecule: non-coding RNA, 46 nt
Organism: Leersia perrieri
Lineage: Eukaryota; Viridiplantae; Streptophyta; Magnoliopsida; Poales; Poaceae
Source: Rfam
AGAAAGGCUUCUCUUGAAGCCUCCAAGUUUCUUAAGAACAUCAACU